This 426-nucleotide long non-coding RNA is filed under the name Marmota monax (woodchuck). Lineage: Eukaryota; Metazoa; Chordata; Mammalia; Rodentia; Sciuridae. The record is from RNAcentral.
GCGCGGUCCCGCCCCCCACGCGGCGCGCAGGCGCGGCCCCUGUUAGCCAGCCAACGCCGCAGUCCUGGGCGCCAGAGCCGCUGCAGCAUCUUUGGUGUCAGCUUCUCCUCUCUGGUCUUCUCUUCCACCUCCUCUUCGGCCGGCGCGAUGGCGAAGCCACUGACCGACAGCGAGAGGCGGAAGCAGAUCAGUGUGCGCGGCCUGGCGGGGUUGGGCGACGUGGCGGAGGUGCGGAAGAGCUUCAACCGGCAUCUGCACUUCACUCUGGUCAAGGACCGCAACGUGGCCACGCCUCGCGACUACUUCUUCGCGCUAGCCCACACCGUGCGCGACCACCUGGUCGGCCGCUGGAUCCGUACCCAGCAGCACUAUUACGAGCGUGACCCCAAGGUGAGGCGGCUCGCCCUCUCGUCUCCGAGGCCGAGA